CUAACAUACACGGCUCUUUGACCCUGAAUAAGCUUGCAAUAUAUCGCAAAAUCUAUUUACUUGACCUAAAAUUUCCUCCAAUGUCAUAUUAAAGUACCUAUAAUAGACAUCGCCAACAUUUGAAGAAAAUAACUUUAAAGGGUCCAAAGCACCGUCUGUAGCAAUUACUGUAGUUAAAUACUCUAAAGUUGAUGCAACUGCUAUCAUAUCAUUAACUUGAUCAUUAUUGCCAAAACAAUAAUGUGGCAAAAUAUGGCUUAGACUAACUAACUCCUCAAGCUCAGAUUUUGAUUUCUCUUUAUUCAACUGAAAUCCUGAGCCUUCGGAAUUUAAACUUGUAACAUCAUUAUAUGCAUUUAUUACUUUAAUAUCUUGCCCAAAUAAAAACUUCACCCCUCUAAUUCUUCUGUUAUCACCAACAUUUAAAAUAAUAUUCUUGCUUGACAGACCACAAAACAUUGGGAAACAAACAGUCUUAAACUUACUAUAAUGCUUACAUUCUGGAUUUGGAAUCCAAAUUGACUUAAAUGUCUUCACAACAAAACCAACUAGAAUUAUUAACUCAAUCUGAUAAUUCUUCUUUAUUGAAGAAAAACCCAUUCCUGACAAUCCUAAAUCUUUCUCUUGAAAAAAACCUGUACUUGCAUUCAUUAUUCCUUUAACCCAAGAAUAAAAACUUAUUCUUUUACCUUCAUCUAAUGUAAAAACUGUCAAACUAUUUAUUUCCAUCUUAUCAUAUCCAAUAAAACUAUUUCUGUAUAAAUGUUCAUGUCCUUCUGAAAUCUUGUUUGUAAUACUUGGAGGAGCCUUAUAUUCAUCUAUUCUUGAAUUAUAAUUGUAAAUGCAUUUACCUCCUUUAUGUAUAAACACUUUUCUUUCCUUUAUAUUAUUAUUCUCUAUUCCCUCUCCUUGUUCAAAAGGUCUUACAAUACCAAUCACAGAAAUACCAUUCACAUCUUUAAAUGAAAAUUCUGAUUCAAAUAUUGAAAAAUCACUAUUGUAAAUCCAUGGAAAUAAUAUAUUACUUGAAGAUCUAUCAGAAAUUGAUGAUAAUUCCAAAAUUAAUAAUCCAUUCGAAUCUUCUCCAUACUUUUCAAAUUCUGGUAUUGUUUUACAUUUUAAUUGACCAUAAGAUAAAGAACUGUAAAACCUAUCUCUUAUACAAAAGUGAUAUAGCUCUAAUAUAGAAUUUAUCUGUUCUUCACUUAAUUUCAAUAACUUCUUCUCUGCUAUGCUUGAAUCUAAACCAUUCUUACCUAUUUUAUUCUUUCUCUCUACCAUCCAAACUUUAAUACUUAACAUUUGGUCUUCAAAAUUACUAUAAGUAUCUC
RNAcentral lists this non-coding RNA (1331 nucleotides) under Cryptosporidium parvum. Lineage: Eukaryota; Apicomplexa; Conoidasida; Eucoccidiorida; Cryptosporidiidae. The record is from RNAcentral.